UGAAUACGAGAUGCUACGGCGUCGAAGCAGUGUAUGUCAGACUUCCAAGAAAAGCUCGCAAUGUCAUAAAUAAAUAAUGCCUGUACCAUAACCGACACAGGUGGGUAGGUAGAGUAUACUAAGGGGCGCGAGAUAACUCUCUCUAAGGAACUCGGCAAAAUAACUCCGUAACUUCGGGAGAAGGAGUGCCUUAUUUAUAAGGUUGCAAUAACAAGAUCCAAGCAACUGUUUAUCAAAAACACAGGUCUCCGCUAAGUCGUAAGACGAUGUAUGGGGGCUGACGCCUGCCCAGUGCCAGAAGGUUAAAGAAGUUGGUUAGCAUUGCGAAGCUGAUGACUGAAGCCCUGGUGAACGGCGGCCGUAACAAUAACGGUCCUAAGGUAGCGAAAUUCCUUGUCGGGUAAGUUCCGACCCGCACGAAAGGCGUAAUGAUUUGGAUACUGUCUCGGAGAGGGACUCGGUGAAAUAGACUUGUCUGUGAAGAUGCGGACUACCUGCACCAGGACAGAAAGACCCUAUGAAGCUUUACUGUAACUUGAAAUUGAAAUUGGACUUUAUUUGCGCAGUAUAGGUGGGAGGCGUUGAAAAUAAUCUCGCGGGAUUAUUGGAGCCAUCAGUGAGAUACCACUCCUAUAAUGUUAGAUUUCUAACUUUGUAUCAUUAUCUGGUCAAAGAACAGUUUCAGGCGGGCAGUUUGACUGGGGCGGUCGCCUCCUAAAUGGUAACGGAGGCGUACAAAGGUUUCCUCUGAACGGGUAGAAAUCGUAUCUAGAGUAUAAAGGCAUAAGGAAGCUUGACUGUGAGACCCACAAGUCGAGCAGGGACGAAAGUCGGUCUUAGUGAUCUGACGGUGCUGAGUGGAAAGGCCGUCACUCAACGGAUAAAAGUUACUCUAGGAUAACAGGCUGAUCUCCCCCAAGAGUUCACAUCGACGGGGAGGUUUGGCACCUCGAUGUCGGCUCAUCGCAUCCUGGGGCGGUAGUACGUCCCAAGGGUUGGGCUGUUCGCCCAUGAAAGCGGUACGCGAGCUGGGUUCAGAACGUCGUGAGACAGUUCGGUCCAUAUCCGGUGUAGGCGUUAGAAUAUUGAGAGGAGCCUUCUUUAGUACGAGAGGACCGAGAAGGACAUACCUCUGGUGUACCAGUUAUCGUGCCAACGGUAAACGCUGGGUAGCUAUGUAUGGAGUGGAUAACCGCUGAAAGCAUCUAAGUGGGAAGCCCACCUCAAGAUGAGUAUUC
Molecule: ribosomal RNA, 1238 nt
Filed under: metagenome
Description: bacterial LSU rRNA
Rfam family: Bacterial large subunit ribosomal RNA
Source: RNAcentral